RNAcentral lists this ribosomal RNA (370 nucleotides) under uncultured organism. RNAcentral describes it as "partial 16S ribosomal RNA". It matches the Rfam family "Bacterial small subunit ribosomal RNA", at positions 527 to 896 of the family's 1533-position model. The record is from RNAcentral.
GUAGGUGGCAAGCGUUGUCCGGAAUUAUUGGGCGUAAAGCGCGCGCAGGCGGUUCUCUAAGUCUGAUGUGAAAGCCCACGGCUCAACCGUGGAGGGUCAUUGGAAACUGGAGAACUUGAGUACAGAAGAGGAAAGCGGAAUUCCACGUGUAGCGGUGAAAUGCGUAGAGAUGUGGAGGAACACCAGUGGCGAAGGCGGCUUUCUGGUCUGUAACUGACGCUGAGGCGCGAAAGCGUGGGGAGCAAACAGGAUUAGAUACCCUGGUAGUCCACGCCGCAAACGAUGAGUGCUAAGUGUUAGGGGGUUUCCGCCCCUUAGUGCUGCAGCUAACGCAUUAAGCACUCCGCCUGGGAGUACGGCCGCAAGGCUG